UUACUCCUACCUUGGGGUAGAGAGGCUGUUUCCAAAUAGACCCCCGGCAUCCUUCCCUCCAAGAAUUUCCCACCUUGCUCUUGGGGAGACUCGAACUCACAAACUCUUGGUUGAUUGCAGGCAAUAAAACAGGUUAUUGAUAUGGUAACACUUAAAGGAAAGUCAUACCUUGUUGUUUAUGUGUAUUAGCAUUUUGGCAUUUUCAUUGAAUAUUAUCCUUUCUCCAUUAAACUGGAUCCUGAAAGAUCUGUUAAUAUGUGAAAUAUAUUGGUUCAAAACAGCUAUUUUAAUGCGCAUGAAAAAAGGAACAAAAAUUAAUCCUUUAUCAUUAUGCGUGUUUCCAACACGGAGGAAUGCGAUAUGUAGAUUGGAAUAUGUAAAUGAGGCUGAAUUAUUGUUGGAUCUCAUUGGUUCCCUGCAGAACUAGAAGGAACUAUAGCAUAUUGUUUGGCUUAGGUUGUACAGUUUACAUCACCAUCUUAGCGUUGUGUUUUGUUAACAAAAUUUCUAUCUUACUAAUAAAAAAUAUCAUUACGCAUCUUUUGGACAAGGAAAUGGUGAUACCUUUUGACUCCUGCACAGUCAUAUGGCACAAAAUUUGUAAACCAUCUAAACCAAAUGCCAUUAGUAUAAUGUAGAAGUUCCAUGAAAAUAACCCUUUUCUACAAUUGGAUUUGGCAAUAGUCCCAUAAUUUCUUUUCUUUUCCUUGUACAAAAAUAGCCCCAUACUAUGUUUGCUAAAACUAUUCUGUUCUAUUCCUUUUGAUUUCUUGCAGUUAUUGUUAACGUAAUGAGUCCUUCGCACUCAAAUUCUCUUCCUUAAAUAUUUCUUUAGCACCAUCUCGUCUUCCUCUUUUAUGUUAGAAGAGAAUGGUUCCUGCAAACCUUGAAACAUCUUCUUCAACUGUAUCUUAUCUUCUGUUUCUGUGAUUGACCAUCAAGUGCAAGAGACUUAAAAUGCUUUCUCAAGAUUAGCGGCUGAUAGAACAAACCAGAUGCUGCUUUAUCUUAAAAGACAAAUAUGUUAACAACUAUGUCCGUCUAUUCAAGAGUAAAUUCUUCAUCUCCACGUUGAUUGACCGACUUGGUUAAAUUAAAUUCGUUGAAGGCUCUUAAUAUGAUCAAACCUUAAAUGGGUUCUUAUUUCAUUAUUGAGUAGUAUUUUCUCUUUACUGGAGAUGGAAAUGUAUGUUGUGACUGAUGGAAUGAAAAACACCAGGUACAAUCUCUCUCUCACAUACACGCACACACUCUACGCACACACACUCAACACAUUAGAUUUUUGACAAUCUCCAAGUUGUUUAACAGUCGACAAUCUUGCAAAAAUGAUUUCCCUCUCUAUGAAACAUGUUCUCCCAAUUGUGAUGUGUCGUAGCUUAAUGCCUCUCUCAUUUUUAUGCAGGAGCAGAAAAUACUGAUGAUGAUGAAAGAAUUGAUGAUGUGCAACAAAAUGAUGUUGCUGUUGCGGAAAAGAGUGAUCAAGAAAAGGGAGCGGAUGAUUAGCUAAUGGGUGAUGUUGUUGUUGCCGCUCUGAUAAGCCGUCGAGGUUUCAUAACGUUACUAUUGAGAUACUAUAGAUCUGGAUGACUGCUUCAAGAGAUGGACUUAAGCUCCUUAUGCUUCCACUUUAUUUGGUUGUUAUUAAGGAAAUUAAUAAGUGCUAUUACAACAUGGAACUGGUCUUAACAAUGCAGUCCCUAAUAAGUCUUUGCGGAAAAUAGAGAAAGCAAAUAAAGGUGGUUCACUCUAGAAGUGGUCUUCACACUCAACAAGAAUGCAGUCCCUAAUAAGUCUUUGAGGAAAAUAGAGAAAGCAAAUAAAAGUGGUUCACUCUAGAAGUGGUCUUCACACUCAACAUUAGGUUGUGAGUUGCAGGUGCUCCCAUAUUUAGCUCGGGCUUAGAAUUUAGAGUAUAAGGGUAAUUUUCCUUUGAAUCUAUUCAUAGGUGUACUGGGAUUAGUUCUCAAUACAUAAGUUGAAUUCGCCGUGUAUAUUAAUUAGAUUUAACUGGAAAACCAAAAGGAAAUAAUUGAAAUUUUUAUUCUGGUUCAGUUUUUCAA
Molecule: long non-coding RNA, 2060 nt
Organism: Nicotiana tabacum (common tobacco)
Lineage: Eukaryota; Viridiplantae; Streptophyta; Magnoliopsida; Solanales; Solanaceae
Source: RefSeq, a predicted model, not a curated record